GAUGAACGUUGGCGGCGUGCCUAACACAUGCAAGUCGAACGAUAGUCGCAAGACUAUAGUGGCGCACGGGUGAGUAACACGUAGCUUACCUCCCUCUCAGCGCGGAUAACGGCUCGAAAGAGCUGCUAAUACCGCAUAAGCUCACGGAUUCUAGAGAUUUGUGAGAAAAGGCUUCGGUCACUGAGAGACGGGGCUGCGGC
Molecule: ribosomal RNA, 200 nt
Filed under: uncultured bacterium
Lineage: Bacteria
Description: partial 16S ribosomal RNA
Rfam family: Bacterial small subunit ribosomal RNA
Source: RNAcentral